RNAcentral lists this ribosomal RNA (253 nucleotides) under uncultured bacterium. Its description in RNAcentral is "partial 16S ribosomal RNA". It matches the Rfam family "Bacterial small subunit ribosomal RNA", at positions 524 to 776 of the family's 1533-position model. The record is from RNAcentral.
UACGGAGGGUGCAAGCGUUGCUCGGAAUUAUUGGGCGUAAAGGGGAGGUAGGUGGUCUCAUUUGUCUGGGGUGAAAGCCUUGGGCUUAACCUAAGAAGUGCCCUAGAAACGGUGAGACUAGAGUCCUGGAGAGGGUCGUGGAAUUCCCGGUGUAGCGGUGAAAUGCGUAGAGAUCGGGAGGAACACCAGAGGCGAAGGCGGCGACCUGGACAGGAACUGACACUCAACUCCGAAAGCGUGGGGAGCAAACAGG